AACGCUGGCGGCGUGCUUAACACAUGCAAGUCGAACGCGAAAGGGACUUCGGGUCCUGAGUAAAGUGGCGGCACGGGUGAGUAACGCGUAGAUAACCUGUCUUCAUGUCUGGAAUAAUACGCCAAAGGGGUACUAAUACCGGAUAUUCUUGCUUUUCAUAAGUUAUGCAAGCAAAGGUGGCCUCUGCAUAUGCUACUGCAUGAAGAGGGGUCUGCGUACCAUUAGCUAGUAGGUGGGGUAAUGGCCUACCUAGGCGACGAUGGUUAGCGGGUCUGAGAGGAUGAUCCGCCACACUGGCACUGGAACACGGGCCAGACUCCUACGGGAGGCAGCAGUGAGGAAUAUUGCGCAAUGGGGGAAACCCUGACGCAGCGACGCCGCGUGAGUGAGGAAGGCCUUCGGGUCGUAAAGCUCUGUCAAGAGGAAAGAAGUGUACAAUGGCUAAUACCUGUUGUAUUUGACGGUACCUCUAAAGGAAGCACCGGCUAACUCCGUGCCAGCCGCCGC
Molecule: ribosomal RNA, 507 nt
Filed under: uncultured bacterium
Lineage: Bacteria
Description: bacterial SSU rRNA
Rfam family: Bacterial small subunit ribosomal RNA
Source: RNAcentral